UAAGAUUAUGUGUGGUUUUGUAACACCUCAGGUGUUUGUAAGUCAACAAUAAAACUUAAAGAGAGCCUACGUGGUCACUAAAUUUAGCAUAAAACACUUUAUGAAGGGUUUAGAUAUGUGGGGGGUUUAGAAAGAAAAAUAUUGAUCGUGCAUCAUUAUGGAUCCAAUGUGCAUUGCCCCUACCUUAAGAGACCUCGUGAGGGCGCACUACCUUACCCC
This 219-nucleotide long non-coding RNA is filed under the name Capsicum annuum. Its description in RNAcentral is "long non-coding RNA (CANN_LNC006812)". Lineage: Eukaryota; Viridiplantae; Streptophyta; Magnoliopsida; Solanales; Solanaceae. The record is from RNAcentral.